AGAUUGAACGCUGGCGGCAUGCCUUACACAUGCAAGUCGAACGGCAGCACGGGAGCAAUCCUGGUGGCGAGUGGCGAACGGGUGAGUAAUACAUCGGAACGUGCCCAGUAGUGGGGGAUAACCCGGCGAAAGCCGGACUAAUACCGCAUACGACCUACGGGUGAAAGCAGGGGAUCGCAAGACCUUGCGCUAUUGGAGCGGCCGAUGUCAGAUUAGCUUGUUGGCGGGUAAAAGCCCACCAAGGCGACGAUCUGUAGCUGGUCUGAGAGGACGACCAGCCACACUGGGACUGAGACACGGCCCAGACUCCUACGGGAGGCAGCAGUGGGGAAUAUUGGUCAAUGGGCGGAAGCCUGAUCCAGCCAUGCCGCGUGAGUGAUGAAGGCCCUAGGGUUGUAAAGCUCUUUUGUGCGGGAAGAUAAUGACGGUACCGCAAGAAUAAGCCCGGCUAACUCGUGCCAGCAGCCGC
Molecule: ribosomal RNA, 469 nt
Filed under: uncultured bacterium
Lineage: Bacteria
Description: SSU rRNA
Rfam family: Bacterial small subunit ribosomal RNA
Source: RNAcentral